This 253-nucleotide ribosomal RNA is filed under the name uncultured bacterium. RNAcentral's name for it is "partial 16S ribosomal RNA". It matches the Rfam family "Bacterial small subunit ribosomal RNA", at positions 524 to 776 of the family's 1533-position model. The record is from RNAcentral.
UACAGAGGGGGCUAGCGUUAUUCGGAAUUAUUGGGCGUAAAGGGCGCGUAGGCGGCCAUGCGUGUCUUCCGUGAAAUCCCUCGGCUUAACUGAGGACGUGCGGAAGAAACUGCAAGGCUCGAGUCCGGGAGAGGGGGGUGGAAUUCCCAGUGUAGCGGUGAAAUGCGUAGAUAUUGGGAAGAACACCCGUGGCUAAGGCGGCUCUCUAGUACGUGACUGACGCUGAGACGCGAAAGCGUGGGGAGCGAACAGG